AUACAUAUUCUCCUUUCGCU
RNAcentral lists this microRNA (20 nucleotides) under Drosophila melanogaster (fruit fly). Its description in RNAcentral is "dme-miR-9369-3p". Lineage: Eukaryota; Metazoa; Arthropoda; Insecta; Diptera; Drosophilidae. The record is from miRBase by way of RNAcentral.